Molecule: ribosomal RNA, 476 nt
Filed under: Selenomonas sputigena
Lineage: Bacteria; Bacillati; Bacillota; Negativicutes; Selenomonadales; Selenomonadaceae
Description: bacterial SSU rRNA
Rfam family: Bacterial small subunit ribosomal RNA
Source: RNAcentral
GACGAACGCUGGCGGCGUGCUUAACACAUGCAAGUCGAACGGGAACCUUUAUUUCGGUAAAGGUGAGAGUGGCAAACGGGUGAGUAACACGUAGGCAACCUGCCGACAGGAUGGGGACAACAUUCCGAAAGGAAUGCUAAUACCGAAUGGAGUCCGGAGAUGGCAUCAUCUCCGGAUAAAAGAUGGCCUCUGAAUAUGCUAUCGCCUGUCGAUGGGCCUGCGUCUGAUUAGCCAGUUGGCGGGGUAACGGCCCACCAAAGCGACGAUCAGUAGCCGGUCUGAGAGGAUGAACGGCCACAUUGGGACUGAGACACGGCCCAGACUCCUACGGGAGGCAGCAGUGGGGAAUCUUCCACAAUGGGCGAAAGCCUGAUGGAGCAACGCCGCGUGAGUGAAGAAGGUCUUCGGAUCGUAAAGCUCUGUUGCACGGGACGAAAACCGAGCUCGAGAAUAUUGAGUUUGGGGACGGUACCGAG